This 460-nucleotide ribosomal RNA is filed under the name uncultured bacterium. RNAcentral's name for it is "partial 16S ribosomal RNA". It matches the Rfam family "Bacterial small subunit ribosomal RNA", at positions 338 to 795 of the family's 1533-position model. The record is from RNAcentral.
CCUACGGGUGGCAGCAGUGAGGAAUAUUGGUCAAUGGACGAGAGUCUGAACCAGCCAAGUCGCGUGAAGGAUGACUGCCCUAUGGGUUGUAAACUUCUUUUAUAUGGGACUAAAAUGUUCCACGUGUGGGAUUUUGUAUGUACCAUAUGCAUAAGGAUCGGCUAACUCCGUGCCAGCAGCCGCGGUACUACGGAGGAUCCGAGCGUUAUCCGGAUUUAUUGGGUUUACAGGGUGCGUAGGUGGAUUGUUAAGUCAGUUGUGAAAGGUUGCGGCUCAACCGGAAAAUUGCAGUUGAAACUGGCAGUCUUGAGUACAGUAGAGGUGGGCGGAAUUCGUGGUGUAGCGGUGAAAUGCUUAGAUAUCACGAAGAACUCCGAUUGCGAAGGCAGCGCACUGGACUGCAACUGACACUGAGGCUCGAAAGUGUGGGCAUCAAACAGGAUUAGAUACCCGAGUAGUC